GAUGAACGCUGGCGGCGUGCUUAACACAUGCAAGUCGAACGAAGCAUUUAAGACGGUUUACUUCGGUUUGAGGUCUUUUAUGACUGAGUGGCGGACGGGUGAGUAACGCGUGGGUAACCUGCCUCAUACAGGGGGAUAGCAGCUGGAAACGGCUGGUAAUACCGCAUAAGCGCACAGUACCACAUGGUACAGUGUGAAAAACUCGGGUGGUAUGAGAUGGACCCGCGUCUGAUUAGCUUGUUGGCGGGGUAACGGCCCACCAAGGCGACGAUCAGUAGCCGACCUGAGAGGCUGCCCGGCCACUUUUGGGCUGAGACACGGCCCAGACUCCUACGCGAGGCAGCAGUGGGUAAUAUUGCACAAUGGAGUAAACUCUGAUGCAGCGACGCCGGGUGAGUGAAGAAGUAGUUCGCUAUGUAAAGCUCUAUCAGCAGGGAAGAUAGUGACGGUACCUGACCAAGAAGCCCCGGCUAACUACGUG
RNAcentral lists this ribosomal RNA (481 nucleotides) under uncultured bacterium. Its description in RNAcentral is "partial 16S ribosomal RNA". It matches the Rfam family "Bacterial small subunit ribosomal RNA", at positions 28 to 507 of the family's 1533-position model. The record is from RNAcentral.